AGUGAACGCUGGCGGUAGGCCUAACACAUGCAAGUCGAACGGCAGCACAGUAAGAGCUUGCUCUUACGGGUGGCGAGUGGCGGACGGGUGAGGAAUACAUCGGAAUCUACUUUUUCGUGGGGGAUAACGUAGGGAAACUUACGCUAAUACCGCAUACGACCUACGGGUGAAAGCAGGGGAUCUUCGGACCUUGCGCGACUGAAUGAGCCGAUGCCGGAUUAGCUAGUUGGCGGGGUAAAGGCCCACCAAGGCGACGAUCCGUAGCUGGUCUGAGAGGAUGAUCAGCCACACUGGAACUGAGACACGGUCCAGACUCCUACGGGAGGCAGCAGUGGGGAAUAUUGGACAAUGGGCGCAAGCCUGAUCCAGCCAUGCCGCGUGGGUGAAGAAGGCCUUCGGGUUGUAAAGCCCUUUUGUUGGGAAAGAAAAGCAGCAGGUUAAUACCCCGCUGUUCUGACGGUACCCAAAGAAUAAGCACCGGCUAACUUCGUG
This 492-nucleotide ribosomal RNA is filed under the name uncultured bacterium. Its description in RNAcentral is "partial 16S ribosomal RNA". It matches the Rfam family "Bacterial small subunit ribosomal RNA", at positions 29 to 507 of the family's 1533-position model. The record is from RNAcentral.